RNAcentral lists this long non-coding RNA (279 nucleotides) under Brassica napus (rape). Its description in RNAcentral is "long non-coding RNA (BNAP_LNC024084)". The record is from RNAcentral. Lineage: Eukaryota; Viridiplantae; Streptophyta; Magnoliopsida; Brassicales; Brassicaceae.
UUGGGUUCUAGUUUGGGUCUUCGGUUCGGGAUUUUUUUCCAAGACCUAGUUAAGCUCUUUGAUUUAAACAUGGAAUAAUAAAGGUGUAUUUUUCUCUUUGCUGCAAUGGGUAGAUCCAAAAUACAAAUCAAACUUUGUUUUAUGGUUUUAGCGAAAAAUUCCUAUUUUUACGAUUUUUCCGAGAAAACUCAUUUUGAAGUUUUGGCGGAAAACCAAGGGAAAUUUUUAUUUUUUACGAUUUCGACAAAAAAGAUUUGUUUGGUGGUUUUGACUGAAAAC